RNAcentral lists this ribosomal RNA (253 nucleotides) under uncultured bacterium. Its description in RNAcentral is "partial 16S ribosomal RNA". It matches the Rfam family "Bacterial small subunit ribosomal RNA", at positions 524 to 776 of the family's 1533-position model. The record is from RNAcentral.
UACGAAGGGGGCUAGCGUUGUUCGGAAUUACUGGGCGUAAAGCGCGCGCAGGCGGUCUUCCAAGUCAGUGGUGAAAGCCCGGAGCUCAACUCCGGAACUGCCAUUGAAACUGUUAGACUUGAGGAUGAGAGAGGUGAGUGGAAUUCCCAGUGUAGAGGUGAAAUUCGUAGAUAUUGGGAAGAACACCGGUGGCGAAGGCGGCUCACUGGCUCGUAACUGACGCUCAUGCACGACAGCGUGGGGAUCAAACAGG